AGAUACUAGUCAUGAAUGGAGCUGGGUCGGUGAAAGUAGUAUCACAAAAGGGAUGCGGGGUCGUGCGAAGAAAAAAUAUUAUCAAAAACUACAACAUAAAUCUAAAAUAUAUUCUGUUGGUUCGUAUGUAAGAUUGCAUAAAUCGGGAAAUAGAUCUCGAAACUAUCUAUUUUGCAGGAUUUUGUCCUUAUAUGAAACUGUUCUGAACACAAAGAGAAUGAAGAUAGAACAUUUUUAUACAUAUAACCAACUUUACAACUCUGGUGAUAAGAUUAACGAUAACAUAUUAAUAAAAUCUAUGAAAAGAAAUCAAAAGUGCUUUCGAGUGACAGAUAUUGCGGAUAAUAUCAGCGUGGUUCCAUACAACGAAUUUUUGGAGAUAAG
RNAcentral lists this long non-coding RNA (384 nucleotides) under Octopus sinensis (East Asian common octopus). Its description in RNAcentral is "uncharacterized LOC118761101". The record is from RNAcentral. Lineage: Eukaryota; Metazoa; Mollusca; Cephalopoda; Octopoda; Octopodidae.